AUCCAGCUGAGGAGUCCCAAACAGGACGAAACGCGCGUCCUGGAU
Molecule: non-coding RNA, 45 nt
Organism: Schistosoma curassoni
Lineage: Eukaryota; Metazoa; Platyhelminthes; Trematoda; Strigeidida; Schistosomatidae
Source: Rfam